CAGCCGCCGCGGUAAAACGUAGGGUGCAAGCGUUAAUCGGAAUUACUGGGCGUAAAGCGUGCGCAGGCGGUUUGUUAAGACAGAUGUGAAAUCCCCGGGCUCAACCUGGGAACUGCAUUUGUGACUGGCAAGCUAGAGUCUGGCAGAGGGGGAUGGAAUUCCGCGUGUAGCAGUGAAAUGCGUAGAUAUGCGGAGGAACACCGAUGGCGAAGGCAAUCCCCUGGGCCUGUACUGACGCUCAUGCACGAAAGCGUGGGGAGCAAACAGGAUUAGAUACCCCCGUAGUCCCUGUCUCUUAUAC
This 301-nucleotide ribosomal RNA is filed under the name uncultured bacterium. RNAcentral describes it as "partial 16S ribosomal RNA". It matches the Rfam family "Bacterial small subunit ribosomal RNA", at positions 509 to 807 of the family's 1533-position model. The record is from RNAcentral.